Molecule: long non-coding RNA, 292 nt
Organism: Zeugodacus cucurbitae (melon fly)
Lineage: Eukaryota; Metazoa; Arthropoda; Insecta; Diptera; Tephritidae
Exons: 3
Source: RefSeq, a predicted model, not a curated record
CGAAUUGGAACCAAAACUCCGUAUUCCUUGUAUGGAUAAUUUUUCAAUAGUGGACAUUUUUUAGAGAGGCGCAAAAUUUCACAACAAUUCAAAAACAAGUCACAACAAAAUAAAAUGCAAAAUUGCGACGUUUUGCCGGAGGCAUCCUCAUAAAGCAGCAACGCGUAUUAUUUAUGGAUAAAUGUUGAAUGAAAAUGUAUCGAGUUCUUUAAAUUUAAAGAUAUAAAAACAAGGUUAUAUAUGUUUUAAACAAACUCAAAAAAAUAUAUACGAUAUAUAUUAGAAAAGUAUA